Long non-coding RNA from Nothoprocta perdicaria, 177 nucleotides. RefSeq lists it as uncharacterized. The transcript has 3 exons. The record is from RefSeq and is a predicted model, not a curated record. Lineage: Eukaryota; Metazoa; Chordata; Aves; Tinamiformes; Tinamidae.
GCUUGAGGAAGUGGCACGGACAAGAUCAAUCUUUUUACCCCGGGUCAUCCUCUAAUACAAUGAAUGGCGAGAAGAAAUUAUGAUGAAAACGGAAGAAGUGUCCGGUGUUGAGAACUGGGAUCAGUAAUGUGAAAACCCAAGGUAAAAGGUUUGGCUUAUCUGCCAAAGGCCGUUUUG